GGGAAACCGGGAUUAAAACCUCAUAACGCGAGGAGUUCACAUGUUCUCCUCGCCAAAGAUUCAUCGGUAUGGGAUGGGCCUGCGUCUGAUUAGCUAGUUGGUGAGGUAACGGCUCACCAAGGCGACGAUCAGUAGCCGACCUGAGAGGGUAAUCGGCCACAUUGGAACUGAGACACGGUCCAAACUCCUACGGGAGGCAGCAGUGGGGAAUAUUGCACAAUGGGCGAAAGCCUGAUGCAGCAACGCCGCGUGAGCGAUGAAGGCCUUUGGGUCGUAAAGCUCUGUCCUUGGGGAAGAAAAAAUGACGGUACCCUUGGAGGAAGCCCCGGCUAACUACGUGCCAGCAGCCGCGGUAAUACGUAGGGGGCAAGCGUUAUCCGGAAUUAUUGGGCGUAAAGAGUGCGUAGGUGGUCAUGAAUAAGCGCGGGGUGAAAGGCAAUAGCUUAACUAUUGUAAGCGCUUGCGAAACUGCAUGAGCUUGAGUGCAGGAGAGGAAAGUGGAAUUCCUAGUGUAGCGGUGAAAUGCGUAGAUAUUAGGAGGAACACCAGUGGCGAAGGCGACUUUCUGGACCUGUAACUGACACUGAGGCACGAAAGCGUGGGUAGCAAA
RNAcentral lists this ribosomal RNA (610 nucleotides) under uncultured Bacillota bacterium. RNAcentral's name for it is "bacterial SSU rRNA". It matches the Rfam family "Bacterial small subunit ribosomal RNA", at positions 151 to 772 of the family's 1533-position model. Lineage: Bacteria; Bacillati; Bacillota. The record is from RNAcentral.